This 253-nucleotide ribosomal RNA is filed under the name uncultured bacterium. Its description in RNAcentral is "partial 16S ribosomal RNA". It matches the Rfam family "Bacterial small subunit ribosomal RNA", at positions 524 to 776 of the family's 1533-position model. The record is from RNAcentral.
UACAGAGGUCUCAAGCGUUGUUCGGAUUCAUUGGGCGUAAAGGGUGCGUAGGCGGCGCGGUAAGUCGGGUGUGAAAUCUCGGAGCUUAACUCCGAAACUGCAUUCGAUACUGCCGUGCUUGAGGACUGGAGAGGAGACUGGAAUUUACGGUGUAGCGGUGAAAUGCGUAGAUAUCGUAAGGAAGACCAGUGGCGAAGGCGGGUCUCUGGACAGUUCCUGACGCUGAUGAACGAAAGCCAGGGGAGCAAACGGG